Molecule: ribosomal RNA, 568 nt
Filed under: uncultured bacterium
Lineage: Bacteria
Description: bacterial SSU rRNA
Rfam family: Bacterial small subunit ribosomal RNA
Source: RNAcentral
AGGCAACCUGCCCUCAAGCUUGGGACAACUACCGGAAACGGUAGCUAAUACCGAAUACUUGUUUUCUUCGCCUGAAGAGAACUGGAAAGACGGAGCAAUCUGUCACUUGGGGAUGGGCCUGCGGCGCAUUAGCUAGUUGGUGAGGUAACGGCUCACCAAGGCGACGAUGCGUAGCCGACCUGAGAGGGUGAUCGGCCACACUGGGACUGAGACACGGCCCAGACUCCUACGGGAGGCAGCAGUAGGGAAUCUUCCGCAAUGGGCGAAAGCCUGACGGAGCAAUGCCGCGUGAGUGAUGAAGGUUUUCGGAUCGUAAAGCUCUGUUGCCAGGGAAGAACGCUUGGGAGAGUAACUGCUCUCAAGGUGACGGUACCUGAGAAGAAAGCCCCGGCUAACUACGUGCCAGCAGCCGCGGUAAUACGUAGGGGGCAAGCGUUGUCCGGAAUUAUUGGGCGUAAAGCGCGCGCAGGCGGUCAUGUAAGUCUGGUGUUUAAUCCCGGGGCUCAACCCCGGAUCGCACUGGAAACUGCGUGACUUGAGUGCAGAAGAGGAGAGUGGAAUUCCACGU